RNAcentral lists this unclassified non-coding RNA (333 nucleotides) under uncultured Glomeraceae. RNAcentral's name for it is "sequence contains 18S rRNA gene". The record is from RNAcentral. Lineage: Eukaryota; Fungi; Glomeromycota; Glomeromycetes; Glomerales; Glomeraceae.
CCCAACUAUCCCUAUUAAUCAUUACGUCAAUCCUAGAAACCAACAAAAUAGGUUCGAACGUCCUAUUUCAUUAUUCCAUGCUAAUGUAUUCAGGCGCUGGCCUGCUUUAAACACUCUAAUUUUUUCAAAGUAACAGUCCUGUUUCCCCGCAACACCAAAUUAAUGGCAUUACGGUUCUACAAGAAGGAGGAAUCAGCAAGCUAGUACAUACCAGUGGCAAGACCAACCUGCUGAUCCCGAAAUUCAACUACGAGCUUUUUAACUGCAACAACUUUAAUAUACGCUAUUGGAGCUGGAAUUACCGCGGCUGCUGGCACCAGACUUGCCCUCCAA